Molecule: ribosomal RNA, 942 nt
Filed under: uncultured bacterium
Lineage: Bacteria
Description: bacterial SSU rRNA
Rfam family: Bacterial small subunit ribosomal RNA
Source: RNAcentral
AGAGUUUGAUCCUGGCUCAGGACGAACGCUGGCGGCAUGCCUAAUACAUGCAAGUCGAGCGCGGGAAGCAGACUGAAGCCUUUCGGGUGGACGUCUGUGGAACGAGCGGCGGAUGGGUGAGUAACACGUGGGCAACCUGCCUACAAGACUGGGAUAACUCGCGGAAACGCGAGCUAAUACCGGAUGAUACUUUUCAUCGCAUGAUGAAAAGAUGAAAUGACGGUUUCGGCUGUCACUUGUAGAUGGGCCCGCGGCGCAUUAGCUAGUUGGUGGGGUAAUGGCUUACCAAGGCGACGAUGCGUAGCCGACCUGAGAGGGUGAUCGGCCACACUGGGACUGAGACACGGCCCAGACUCCUACGGGAGGCAGCAGUAGGGGAUCUUCCGCAAUGGACGAAAGUCUGACGGAGCAAUGCCGCGUGAGUGAUGAAGGUUUUCGGAUCGUAAAACUCUGUUGUUAGGGAAGAACAAGUACGUUAGUAACUGAACGUACCUUGACGGUACCUAACCAGAAAGCCACGGCUAACUACGUGCCAGCAGCCGCGGUAAUACGUAGGUGGCAAGCGUUGUCCGGAAUUAUUGGGCGUAAAGCGCGCGCAGGCGGCUAUUUAAGUCUGAUGUGAAAUCUUGCGGCUUAACCGCAAGCGGUCAUUGGAAACUGGAUAGCUUGAGUACAGAAGAGGAGAGUGGAAUUCCACGUGUAGCGGUGAAAUGCGUAGAUAUGUGGAGGAACACCAGUGGCGAAGGCGACUCUCUGGUCUGUAACUGACGCUGAGGCGCGAAAGCGUGGGUAGCGAACAGGAUUAGAUACCCUGGUAGUCCACGCCGUAAACGAUGAGUGCUAGGUGUUAGGGGGUUUCCGCCCCUUAGUGCUGAAGUUAACGCAUUAAGCACUCCGCCUGGGGAGUACGGCCGCAAGGCUGAAACUCAAAGGAAUUGACGG